Molecule: long non-coding RNA, 331 nt
Filed under: Mytilus galloprovincialis (Mediterranean mussel)
Lineage: Eukaryota; Metazoa; Mollusca; Bivalvia; Mytilida; Mytilidae
Source: RNAcentral
AUUUUCUUUGUUUAUUAAGUCUUAAUUAAAAAAAAAAGAUACAUUGCGAGAAUCGGUCUGAAAUUUGUUUAUCUAUGUAUUGGUAUAAACCGGUAUAAUCCAGUUAUUGAUAGCGUCAGUUUUAACAUGGGUCAAAUGUAAACAUGACCCAAGUUAUCACUUUUUGAUUAUAUUCAUUUGAAACAAAUGUCUCUAAUUUACAAUAAUCGAUAUCACCCGACUUUCACAAACAAAACAAAAAAAAAAACAAAAAAUAAAUAAACGUUCACUGUCAAUGAAAAUAACAUUUACACAAACAUCUAUUUAUACUCAUGUAAACAUUGAAUGUACG